This is a non-coding RNA of Kogia breviceps (pygmy sperm whale), 1759 nucleotides long. NCBI's taxonomy places the organism in Eukaryota, Metazoa, Chordata, Mammalia, Artiodactyla, Physeteridae. The record is from RefSeq and is a predicted model, not a curated record.
UCUGAGGUCCGUGCUGAUCGCCACGGCUCGCGCCCAUCUCUGGAGCUCAUUUAGGCGGUGCUCUGAAUCCCAUUUCCUCACGUACCCCGAAACAAUAGUCUCUUGUCUCUUAGGCAGGUCAAGACAUUCUCCUGGACUCCCUCCCGGCUAGCCGUGGCGCACUAGCCCCUUCCAGCUGUGUUCACAUAGCCAACCCCAGUCCUCUCCCUGGGAUCUGACCUCCGAAGCCCGAGCCUCAUCUCCCAGCUCCUGCCCUUCCCGGCGGGUGUUCUGCGACUCUUUGUUGGAAGCCGUCUAUCUCUAGGAACCUCCCUCCCUCGGCCCUAUGAAAGUAACUGUAGUCCUGAGAACCUGUUACUGAUGGCAUACAUCACAGCUUGCAGCACCUGUAGCUCUCAUGCUGGCACCUUCCUGUCCAGCUCCUCUUUCCCGGGAUGCCGCCUCCAGACCCGCUCCAUGGCCCUUCUCCUGAGAGUCUCUACUCCUGCUAUUCCUUACCCCACCACGGGUUGGCUGUGCCUGUUUGAAAUACCAGACUCUUCUGUGGUGCCCAUAUCGGUUGCUCCCAGAGCCCUCAGCUCACACCUGCUCCGUGGCACUUCUCAUCCUGCAGUGCAAUUGUAGGCUCACACGCCGGUCUCCCCUCCUAGACUGUAAGCAUCCAAAGCACGGGGCAUUCCAUUUCCUUUGUACCCUUAGGAUUUAGUACAGUGUCUGGGACAGACUAGGCGUUCAAUAGGUGCUUCUGGGAUGAGUCACAUCCCUAGUUCCCCGGCCACCACUCAGCAAGGUCACAGCUUGACUUGACCUAAUGAUCCGCUUGCCGUGGGUCUGAAUGUUGAAGGCGAGGCCCCCAGUGACUGGCACGCAGACCUGUGAGGCAAGUGCUCUGGACCUUCAUUUCUUCAGUCAUUCAUCACUUCAAACAUCUUUUAAGCACCUACUGUUGUCAGGGAUUGGACAAUGAACAAAACAUAUUCUGUUCUCAAUAAGUUCAACAUAGGGCAUGGCAGAGCUGGAAAAUCUCCCUUUUCCACUUGACGCCAUAGGUGCGGUAGGAUAGAGACUUGAAGUUACAUGUCUGGGUGUGUAGCAGGCUCUUAAAGGUUUGUUGAUAACUUAUUUUGGGGUGUGUAUUUCCAAUAUCUUGGGUGAACACUCUGGUAUCAUGGUGCAGAGUGUCAGCCAAGGAAUAGAGGCUGUUCUUUGUGGUUCAUUUAAUGCUAUUGGAAACCCAUUUUGGUUGUCUGCACUCUCCUGGCCAGUCACAGCUUCCACAUCCUCCAUUGUUCUCUACCUUAGAAAAAAAAAAGACUGAAAAUCUUUUUGUGACAGUCCUGCAAUUUUUGCUUGCCUCCCCAAAGUAAUAUUCCAGGCAUUAAAAAUGUAAUUUGCCUUGUGAUUCGGGGGAGUGGUAAAUCUUGUGCCAAGGACCAUUUUUGGAUAAGAGAUCGCUAGAAUUAUGAAAUUCUCAAGGUGUGUGAUGGGAAACUGGGGUUGGGCUGUGAGGAGAGGAAAGAGGGCAGUGAGUCUGUACUUUGCUCUGGUGGGGAACAGCAGCCAUGGAUGAAUUUAUUUACACACAGAUGUAGUUUUGGGCUUUUGUGGUUUUUUUUCUCAAUAAUGUACCAUGUCUAAGAUACAGUACAAUCACUUUUUCAUAGUUGAAAGCACAUCCUGUAAAUGUAUAAAAGUUAAUCCCUUGAUAUAUAAAAAAAUCUACUUUAAGUAGGUAAUGCAUGCCUGUGAUAUGAAUGUA